This 67-nucleotide transfer RNA is filed under the name Paragavialidium hainanense. Its description in RNAcentral is "tRNA-Val". Lineage: Eukaryota; Metazoa; Arthropoda; Insecta; Orthoptera; Tetrigidae. RNAcentral also lists the same sequence under 1 other name. The record is from RNAcentral.
CAGAAUUUAAUUUAAUAUUGUUUUCAUUUACAUUGAAAAAUUUCUUGUGCGAUUCUAGAUGUUCUGA